GCCUGCGGCUUAAUUUGACUCAACACGGGAAAACUUACCCGGCCCGGACACUGGAAGGAUUGACAGAUUAAGAGCUCUUUCUUGAUUCAGUGGAUGGUGGUGCAUGGCCGUUCUUAGUUGGUGGAGCGAUUUGUCUGGUUAAUUCCGAUAACGAACGAGACUCUAGCCUACUAAAUAGACGAACGAUCACUGGAGUCGUUCGAUCUUCUUAGAGGGACAAGCGGCUUUUAGCCGCACGAGACAGAGCAAUAACAGGUCUGUGAUGCCCUUAGAUGUCCGGGGCCGCACGCGCGCUACACUGAAGGAAUCAGCGUGCGUUUACCCCUGUCCGGCAGGACUGGGUAACCCGAUCAACCUCCUUCGUGAUAGGGAUAGGGGCUUGUAAUUCUUGCCCUUGAACGAGGAAUUCCCAGUAAGCACGAGUCAUAAGCUCGUGUUGAUUACGUCCCUGCCCUUUGUACACACCGCCCGUCGCUACUACCGAUUGAAUGAUUUAGUGAGGUCUUCGGACUGGCGCUCGGCGCGGCCUUACUGGUCGCGCCGGCGUGCCGGAAAGAUGACCGAACUUGAUUAUUUAGAGGAAGUAAAAGUCGUAACAAGGUNNCCGUAGGUGAACCUGCGGAAGGAUCAUUACCGAUUCGGCGAGGCCGAGAGCCUUGUCCGGUCACAAUACAUGCAGACAGAGCAAUAGACCGGUUGGGGGUGUCUGUUCCCGCGGCACUGUGCCCUGGCGCGAAGCGUCUUGGCGUCGCGGGGGUGCCCGUCCCUCGGGUCGCAAGUCGGCGACACACGAGAGGAUAGGCGCUAGGCGUAAGAGCAACCGCCACCCCCGGAGAGACGGGACGCCCAGUGCGUGCCGUCCGAACGGACGUGUCGUAGCCCAGUGCUUCGUCGUCCGACGGAAAAGUAACUAUGACAUAACUAUGACGAGGAAAGAGAGAAGUAACUAUGACGAAAGAGGGAGAAGUUCCCCGCAUUUGCGGGGAAGAACUCGGACCAAGUCCGGGGAAGAGAGUAUCUAGCCAACUCUCAAAGUAUCAAAUGCCUCGUCAUCUAAUUGGGAGAAGUUCCCCGCAUUUGCGGGGAAGAACUCGGACCAGUCCGGGGAAGAGAGUAUCUAGCCACUCUCAAAGUAUCAAAUGCCUCGUCAUCUAAUUGACGCAAAAUUCGGACAAAGUCCGGCCGAGAGAAAGGAAACCGCAGGUCAGUGUGUGUGUGAGAGAGAGGAAAGGCGAUGGGGGACGCCUUAUGAGAGAGGAGGAGAGAGAGAGGAAAGGCGAGCCAGGGGCGCCUUAUGGUAGGAGGAGAGAGAGGCAAGGCGAGUUGGACGCCUUACGAGAGAGGAGGAGAAGGCGGAGGAGCGGCGCCUUAUGAGAGAGAAGGUGGGAUGUGANAGAGGAGGAGAGAGAAGGCGGGUUGCGACGCCUUGUGAGAGAGGAGGAGAGAGAGAAGUUCCCUGCUGUAGCGGGGAAAUGAAACACGGACCACCGACUCGGCCGGGUUAAGUCCGAGAAAUAUACAGCGUCUACGGACGCUCGGUACAUGUGCUUAAACUUAAAAAGCGUCUACGGACGCUCGAGAAACUUCUCCGGGGUUUUCUCUUUAUAAAUAACAAAUGCCUCAAACUCGUCAUCAUGAAAUGCCGGACAAAGUCCGAGAUAGUAGCAAAUACCUCGUCAUCUAUGUUGUCGGACAAAGUCCGAGAGGGCAGUCGAAGUAGCAAAUGUCUCGUCAUCUAAUUGACGGGAAAAGAGAGUAACUAUGACAGGGAGAGCAGCGACGGGCCACCGCCCGGCGACGAGGGGCCAGGCAGCCGAUGGAGGCCAACCCGCGUGGACCACUAUAGCCGGUUCCGCCUCCGCAGAAAAGGGUGAAGUCCGAAGUGGUCUAGGACGAUCCCAAGAGGCCGCCACGGGUUUCCGAGAAGCCGGCACAGGCUGCGGUUGCUGUAUCUCUCCCAUACAAUGUAGGUAAGGGAAAUAUGAAGUUACUCUCUACAGUGAGCCAAUGUAGGUAAAUUGUUGGACUGCCUGUCUCGGUUGUUGACAAUGUAGGUAAGACGUGGGCGCCUACUCUCGGGGUCUCGGCCCCGGGGUGUGCCUUCGCCGUCGGCGGAGGUGCUAGGCGUAACGAGCCGAAAGGCCGGCCCGAAACUUUGAAACACCAUAACUAUGACAUAGAGCUAAUACUAAGUACAACUCGAAGUGGUGGAUCACUCGGCUCACGGGUCGAUGAAGAACGCAGCCAGCUGCGAGACUUGGUGUGAAUUGCAGGACACAUGAAGUCCGAAGUGGUCUAGGACGAUCCCAAGAGGCCGCCACGGGUUUCCGAGAAGCCGGCACAGGCUGCGGUUGCUGUAUCUCUCCCAUACAAUGUAGGUAAGGGAAAUAUGAAGUUACUCUCUACAGUGAGCCAAUGUAGGUAAAUUGUUGGACUGCCUGUCUCGGUUGUUGACAAUGUAGGUAAGACGUGGGCGCCUACUCUCGGGGUCUCGGCCCCGGGGUGUGCCUUCGCCGUCGGCGGAGGUGCUAGGCGUAACGAGCCGAAAGGCCGGCCCGAAACUUUGAAACACCAUAACUAUGACAUAGAGCUAAUACUAAGUACAACUCGAAGUGGUGGAUCACUCGGCUCACGGGUCGAUGAAGAACGCAGCCAGCUGCGAGACUUGGUGUGAAUUGCAGGACACACC
This 2689-nucleotide ribosomal RNA is filed under the name Androctonus mauritanicus mauritanicus. RNAcentral's name for it is "bacterial SSU rRNA". The stretch from base 1 to 633 matches the Rfam family "Eukaryotic small subunit ribosomal RNA", at positions 1181 to 1831 of the family's 1831-position model. Lineage: Eukaryota; Metazoa; Arthropoda; Arachnida; Scorpiones; Buthidae. The record is from RNAcentral.